Molecule: long non-coding RNA, 912 nt
Filed under: Citrus sinensis (sweet orange)
Lineage: Eukaryota; Viridiplantae; Streptophyta; Magnoliopsida; Sapindales; Rutaceae
Description: long non-coding RNA (CSIN_LNC004602)
Source: RNAcentral
CUAAAUCCAUGGCCAGCCACCUCAUCUCUCUGGCGAUAUCCUUCUUCUUCUUCAUACCUCUAAAACUUUGAGCCCUAAAAUUCAAGGGUCCAUGCCAUAAGAAAUCCUAACACCACUGCUCAAAUUCUAAGACCCAUACCAUACGAAACCCUAACGAUCUACAUUAUGCAAAACAUCCACCAUGUCGCUAUGCCACAAGCUCACAAAACCCGCUUUAGAUCUCCACAUUUUGCUCACCCUACUCGAGUGCACACCGCCCCUCUCGCUUCGCCUUCUCGGGAUUUCUUGUUAGCUGAAGUUUUGUUUUCUUCCGCUAAUUCAAUCUUCGAAAGGUCUCGGAGCUCCAAGUAACUCAGUAAGCUCAGUUUUCUUCUAUUCUCUCGGAUACUUGCUUACACAUUUUUUUUUUGUGUUAAAUUUUGUUGUUUCGUUGUGUUAUAUGGAUCAAUGAGAGUCACAAACUUUGACCAGACAAUGACAAUAUUGUUUUGGAGUUUCGUUUUGUAGAUCUGUGAUGGAGUCUCAUUUUUCAGAUAUUUCCUUUCAUUUACCAUAUUUGCACAAUUGUUUUUGUCAUUAAAUUAUUUGCUUUUGAAUGUGCAAUUUUUUUUUUCGUUUUAUAUUUUCAAAUACUGUUUCCUAGAGCGAAUUAGUGGAGGAAUUUUUGGUUGAAGCAGAGGAUGGAUAACUUUUGUAUUGAUGGAUAACUUUUGUAUUUUGAACUUUGUAUGUUAUUUAUUAUUUGAACUUGAAGCUAAAAGGUGACCAAAUUUUCCAGAGGUUAGGGUUUGGUUGGCUUAUGUGAAAAUACCGAACGAAUGUGUAUUAUUCAUACUCCAAUAUUGUAGGUGGGUCAAUGCACCUCCUUGCGAUGGUUGCAGCAACGAAACUGUAGGUCAAGAUUUGGGUACC